GUUACGCUACACAAACUCUAAGACCCCAGCCUCUGGAUCUCUGCCUGCUCCUCCUACUGGCCAAUUUGAUUGGUCUAUGAGGCAAGCCAGAACUUACAGGUNNNNNNNNNNUGGAAUCUGACUGCGAGUGCAGCCAGGCCCAAUCCCCAAGGUUCAUUUCACUAUGGAAAGAUAACUCCAACAAAGACAAUUGUAUUGGCCAAUUCAGC
RNAcentral lists this unclassified non-coding RNA (209 nucleotides) under Hevea brasiliensis (rubber tree). The record is from RNAcentral. Lineage: Eukaryota; Viridiplantae; Streptophyta; Magnoliopsida; Malpighiales; Euphorbiaceae.